AUGUCAGCCGGCACCGCUACGCCGGGACUCGUUGUCACCGCCACCGAUCCCAUCCGCUCUUUCCUCUCCUUCGCCGCCGGCUCCCCCGACCUCUCCGACGACCUCCGGGGCCUGGCCUCCGCCCUCUCUUCUGAGCGGGCCGUCCCCUACCGCUCCAUCCGCGCCAUCUGGUGCGCCGACUGCUCCCGCGGCCGCCCACCUCUCAGACAGCUCUUGCAAGGCGCUCAAUUCGUGCUGUCCAGCCCCAAGCCCCGCGAGAAGAGCGAUGAGCUCAAGGCGAGGCUGGAGAAGCUUCGGGAGAUGCAGGAGAGGAAGGAGUACGCCGAGCUCGUCAAGGAUGUCGCGCCUAAGGAGGACAACACCGAGCCCUUCUCCUCUUACAAGGAUCAGCUAGGAUUCGGUCUGCAUGUUGUGGUCAUAAUGUUCACAGGUUAUUUGGUGGGAUCUGCUACUUUCAAAGCUCUGUUUGGCAACAGUCCUGUAAUGAAUGCUGCUGGAGGCAUCUUAGGAGUGGUGGGUGGCAUGCUGAUGGAAACAGUUCUUUUCAUCAUCAGAUCAUCCAGUAAAGAGUUGUCGUCUUCGGUUCCAAGAUCCAAGAAGCUUCAGUAG
This 609-nucleotide ribosomal RNA is filed under the name Triticum aestivum (bread wheat). RNAcentral describes it as "partial small subunit ribosomal RNA". The record is from RNAcentral. Lineage: Eukaryota; Viridiplantae; Streptophyta; Magnoliopsida; Poales; Poaceae.